GGACUACAGGGGUAUCUAAUCCUGUUUGCUCCCCACGCUUUCGUGCAUGAACGUCAGAAAUGGACCAAGAAGCUGCCUUCGCCAUUGGUGUUCCUCUCGAGAUCUACGCAUUUUACCGCUACUCCGAGAAUUCCACUUCUCUCUUCCACUCUCUAGUUCACCAGUAUCACUUGCAUACCUUCAGUUAGGCCGAAGAAUUUAACAAGUGACUUAACAAACCGUCUGCGCACCCUUUACGCCCAAUUAAUCCGAAUAACGCUUGCACCCCUCGUAUUACCGCGGCGGCUGGCAC
RNAcentral lists this ribosomal RNA (292 nucleotides) under uncultured bacterium. Its description in RNAcentral is "partial 16S ribosomal RNA". The record is from RNAcentral.